CUAUAUUUAAAAAAAAAAAAUUCCACAGAACAAUUUCUCGCAGUCUUUAACAAAAAGAGUUCUAGAGAGAGGGAGCCUUUAUUAUCAGCCCUAGGCCGAUGUUUUUCCUACUCAUCUUAGUCAAGAAAAAAUCAAAGGGAGAAUUUGUUACCUCUUAGGGAGCGGCUUAAUUGUUUGCACGGUCCGUAGGCUGCCGAGAGAAAGGCAAAAUGCUGUGUACCAAAAACUAUAAACUGCUUGGACUGUUCUGUUUGAUAAAGGUUCAUAGUUAAUAAAAAAAACUUUCUUUCCCUUCUGCUCUGGGCUAGAUCACGAGCCGCUGACUCUGAUAGCGCCAAGAUUAUGUUCUAUCUCAUACAUAUUUUUCUCUUGGCUGAGUUGAGUUGUUUCAGUGUAAUUUAUUUGUCAGAGGAAGUCAUUAUCAGGAGAAAAGGCAAUUUCUUAGUAAUUAAAGCCAGUCUGAAUUUCUGGAUUGCAAGUUGAAUUUACUAGUUCAGCAGAUCCGAGUACGCGAGUGUUGAAUAUUAUUAGGGAUCGACUCCCUCUUCAUUAUGACCUGGUUUUGUGCCACACGGAAUCUUUGCAUGCUGCUGAAUAUUCUUUUCAGUUGUGCCCGUGGGACCACAGCGGAAGAUGCAGACCAGGGCUUGUCUCAGAGGGUAUGGACUACAAGAAGAUCCCCCAGAAGACACAGAAUGGGAAGCAGCACCCACCACCACCCUUGGGAGCUCCGGUCACCCCGAGCUGGGAGGACAAGGCUAUUGGCAACUUCCAUCUUAUGUGAAAAUAAAGGGCCCAGAGCUUUGAGCCCUCAUGCUUUGCUCCAGAAGUCCACGGAUACCAUGUCACAGAGGACAAGGGCAUCUGGGUAAGCUGGAAGCGGCACGACCUCUCCCUCUCUUUGUCGCAAUUCGGGAAGGAAACGUUUCUGCACAAACGUGAAGAAAUACAGCAGACUUGCCUUAUUUCGGACCACAGGAGGGCGACGUUCAGCUGCAGCUGAAACAAACAGGACUUCCCAAAACAGGUUGCCCAAGGAGAUAGCGGAUGCCCCAGUCCUGGAGGUGUUCAAGGCCAGGAUGGAAGGGGGAGCCUGGUCAUCGGUCACCUUGCACGCAGCUUGAACUUAGAUGAUGAUACCCAGGCCAUUCUACGAUUCUAUCACGGAUUCUAUAUAAAGUAGGUAAGAAAAACAGCAUAGAAGAUGCUGUCUGUUAGCAAUUUGCACAGAAGGAUGCUGAUAGCAUAGCAAUGUUGUUAGUAAAAAAAAAAUAAAAAUCGAGAGGGAUAAAUCAGACAAAGGCUUUUACUAAAAGCUGUGUAUCAUACGGGAUAGAUAAAUGAAGAGUGCAGGUAUUGUGCCUGGGCUGCACGGAUCCUAGUAAAUAACAUCGUUAAGAGAUCUUAGGUCAGUUGUUGUGCAGUAUCACGGAGGGAAAAUAACAAUGACUAAGACUGAAAUAGGAGAAAAGACCUGUAAUGCAAUUAAAUUUUCUUAUGAGCAAAUGCCAGUAGUUGGACACACCUUUACUCAAAAAUUAAAAAGGGGAAAAUGUACAUCAAUGAACAGAUGAAUAAAAUUUAUUUCUCUAACAGUGAAUAUGGUUGAAGUAAUAAAAAAAUAUUCAGUGUGUUGAAGAAGAAGAAGAAGAAGAAGAAGAAGAAGAAGAAGAAGAUGAAGAAGAAGAAGAAGAAGAAGAAGAAGAAGAAGAAGAUGAUGAAGAAGAAGAAGAAGAAGAAGAAGAAGAAGAUGAUGAAGAAGAAGAAGAAGAAGAUGAAGAUGAAGAUGAAGAAGAAGAUGAAGAUGAAGAUGAAGAUGAAGAUGAAGAUGAAGAUGAAGAAGAAGAUGAAGAAGAAGAUGAAGAUGAAGAAGAAGAUGAAGAAGAAGAUGAAGAUGAAGAUGAAGAUGAAGAUGAAGAUGAAGAUGAAGAUGAAGAUGAAGAUGAAGAAGAAGAUGAAGAAGAAGAUGAAGAAGAAGAUGAAGAUGAAGAUGAAGAAGAAGAUGAAGAAGAAGAAGAAGAUGAAGAUGAAGAUGAAGAUGAAGAUGAAGAAGAAGAAGAAGAUGAAGAUGAAGAAGAAGAAGAAGAUGAAGAUGAAGAAGAAGAUGAAGAAGAAGAUGAAGAAGAAGAUGAAGAUGAAGAAGAAGAUGAAGAAGAAGAUGAAGAUGAAGAUGAAGAAGAAGAAGAAGAUGAAGAUGAAGAUGAAGAAGAAGAAGAAGAAGAAGAAGAAGAAGAAGAAGAAGAUGAAGAAGAAGAUGAAGAAGAAGAUGAAGAUGAAGAUGAAGAUGAAGAAGAAGAUGAAGAUGAAGAAGAAGAAGAAGAAGAAGAUGAAGAUGAAGAAGAAGAUGAAGAAGAAGAAGAAGAAGAAGAUGAAGAUGAAGAAGAAGAAGAAGAUGAAGAUGAAGAUGAAGAAGAAGAUGAAGAAGAAGAUGAAGAUGAAGAAGAAGAAGAAGAAGAUGAAGAUGAAGAUGAAGAAGAAGAAGAAGAAGAAGAUGAAGAUGAAGAUGAAGAUGAAGAAGAAGAAGAAGAUGAAGAUGAAGAAGAAGAAGAAGAUGAAGAUGAAGAUGAAGAAGAAGAAGAAGAAGAAGAUGAAGAAGAAGAUGAAGAAGAAGAUGAAGAUGAAGAUGAAGAUGAAGAUGAAGAUGAAGAUGAAGAAGAAGAUGAAGAUGAAGAUGAAGAUGAAGAUGAAGAAGAAGAAGAAGAUGAAGAAGAAGAUGAAGAUGAAGAUGAAGAAGAAGAAGAAGAAGAAGAUGAAGAAGAAGAAGAAGAAGAAGAUGAAGAAGAAGAAGAAGAAGAAGAAGAAGAAGAAGAUGAAGAAGAAGAUGAAGAUGAAGAUGAAGAUGAAGAUGAAGAAGAAGAUGAAGAUGAAGAAGAAGAAGAAGAUGAAGAAGAAGAUGAAGAUGAAGAUG
Molecule: long non-coding RNA, 2908 nt
Organism: Gallus gallus (chicken)
Lineage: Eukaryota; Metazoa; Chordata; Aves; Galliformes; Phasianidae
Source: Ensembl